AUAGCUCACUAGUCGAGUGACCCUGCGCCGAAAAUGUACCGGGGCUAAAUAGUUUACCGAAGCUGUGGAACACACCAAUGGUGUGUUGGUAGGAGAGCGUUCUAAGGGCGUUGAAGGUAGAUCGUGAGGACUGCUGGAGCGCUUAGAAGUGAGAAUGCCGGUAUGAGUAGCGAAAGACAGGUGAGAAUCCUGUCCACCGAAUGACUAAGG
Molecule: ribosomal RNA, 210 nt
Filed under: Enterococcus avium
Lineage: Bacteria; Bacillati; Bacillota; Bacilli; Lactobacillales; Enterococcaceae
Description: partial 23S ribosomal RNA
Rfam family: Bacterial large subunit ribosomal RNA
Source: RNAcentral